UCGGUAAAGUGUGGACGUAAUUUAUAUGGUUGCUGCAGAGCAGUGCUGAAUCAGUUUUCGCUGCCAAGUGUUCAACGCCGAGUGUGUGUGAUAUAAAGAAUUGAGUGCAAAUCAUGGCUAUAUCGGUUGUGUGUCCAGCAUUUGGGAUGAUUUUGAUUGCAGUUAUUUUGAGCGCCAGAGCGUCGACAGCAGCAUCAGCAGCAGCAACAUCAGUAGUAACAACAGCAAAAUCCGAUCAGGCAAUUAGUGUGGCAAAGCACGUCGACUGUGAGCGUCAGUGUCCAUACUAUUAUUUUCCGAUUUGUGCAACAAAUGGCAAUCCCGAUGAAAAUCGAAUGUUUGUGAAUAUAUGCGAGAUGCACGCUUGGAACUGUGACGUUGAAAAGAAAUAUCACCGGACGAGAAAUAAUCAGUGUAGGGAUUAUCAUGAGUAUGUUGACGAUGAAUGGCUUAACUCACACAAACCGACUAAAAGACC
Molecule: long non-coding RNA, 478 nt
Organism: Sitodiplosis mosellana (orange wheat blossom midge)
Lineage: Eukaryota; Metazoa; Arthropoda; Insecta; Diptera; Cecidomyiidae
Exons: 3
Source: RefSeq, a predicted model, not a curated record